GCUCGCGUGGAAAGAUUUGGGCUGAUUGCAACCACAUAAAAAAAUGCUAAAAACAGUGCU
Owenweeksia hongkongensis DSM 17368 is the source of this 60-nucleotide non-coding RNA. The record is from Rfam. Lineage: Bacteria; Pseudomonadati; Bacteroidota; Flavobacteriia; Flavobacteriales; Owenweeksiaceae.